GAUGAACGCUAGCUGCAGGCUUAACACAUGCAAGUCGAGGGGCAGCAUGAUUGAAGCUUGCUUCAAUCGAUGGCGACCGGCGCACGGGUGAGUAAUACGUAUCCAACCUGCCGAUAACUCGGGGCUAGCCUUUCGAAAGAAAGAUUAAUACCCGAUAGUAUAGUAUUUCCGCAUGGUUUCACUAUUAAAGAACUUCGGUUAUCGAUGGGGAUGCGUUCCAUUAGAUAGUUGGCGGGGUAACGGCCCACCAAGUCAACGAUGGAUAGGGGUUCUGAGAGGAAGGUCCCCCACAUUGGAACUGAGACACGGUCCAAACUCCUACGGGAGGCAGCAGUGAGGAAUAUUGGUCAAUGGACGAGAGUCUGAACCAGCCAAGUAGCGUGAAGGAUGACUGCCCUAUGGGUUGUAAACUUCUUUUAUACGGGAAUAAAGUGGAGUAUGCAUACUCCUUUGUAUGUACCGUAUGAAUAAGGAUCGGCUAACUCCGUG
This 489-nucleotide ribosomal RNA is filed under the name uncultured bacterium. RNAcentral's name for it is "partial 16S ribosomal RNA". It matches the Rfam family "Bacterial small subunit ribosomal RNA", at positions 28 to 507 of the family's 1533-position model. The record is from RNAcentral.